UAGGAAGUGGUGUAACGGAAGCACAAAGAGUUUUGCUCUCUUUAGUCAGGGUUCGAAUCCUUUCUUUCUAG
RNAcentral lists this transfer RNA (71 nucleotides) under Trichiurus lepturus (Atlantic cutlassfish). Its description in RNAcentral is "tRNA-Gln". It matches the Rfam family "tRNA". Rfam says of the family: Transfer RNA (tRNA) molecules are approximately 80 nucleotides in length. Their secondary structure includes four short double-helical elements and three loops (D, anti-codon, and T loops). Lineage: Eukaryota; Metazoa; Chordata; Actinopteri; Scombriformes; Trichiuridae. RNAcentral also lists the same sequence under 2 other names. The record is from RNAcentral.